Non-coding RNA from Otolemur garnettii (small-eared galago), 103 nucleotides. The record is from Rfam. NCBI's taxonomy places the organism in Eukaryota, Metazoa, Chordata, Mammalia, Primates, Galagidae.
AUGCUUUCUUUGAUAGCACAUAUACUAAAAUUGGAGUGAUACAGAGAUAAGUCUGGCCCUGUGUAAGGAUGGCACGCAAAUCUGUGAAACAUUCAUAGUUUUA